Molecule: ribosomal RNA, 355 nt
Filed under: uncultured bacterium
Lineage: Bacteria
Description: bacterial SSU rRNA
Rfam family: Bacterial small subunit ribosomal RNA
Source: RNAcentral
GUAGGGUGCAAGCGUUGUCCGGAAUUACUGGGCGUAAAGGGAGCGCAGGCGGACCGGCAAGUUGGAAGUGAAAACUAUGGGCUCAACCCAUAAAUUGCUUUCAAAACUGCUGGCCUUGAGUAGUGCAGAGGUAGGUGGAAUUCCCGGUGUAGCGGUGGAAUGCGUAGAUAUCGGGAGGAACACCAGUGGCGAAGGCGACCUACUGGGCACCAACUGACGCUGAGGCUCGAAAGCAUGGGUAGCAAGCAGGAUUAGAUACCCUGGUAGUCCAUGCCGUAAACGAUGAUUACUAGGUGUUGGAGGAUUGACCCCUUCAGUGCCGCAGUUAACACAAUAAGUAAUCCACCUGGGGAGU